AUACUCACCACUUCGGCAGCACAUAUACUAAAAUUGGAACAAUACAGAGAUUAGCAUGGUUCCUGUGCAAGAAUGACAUGCAAAUUCGUGAGGCAUUCUAUAUGUUU
Molecule: small nuclear RNA, 107 nt
Organism: Ochotona curzoniae (black-lipped pika)
Lineage: Eukaryota; Metazoa; Chordata; Mammalia; Lagomorpha; Ochotonidae
Source: RefSeq, a predicted model, not a curated record